AGGAGUCCCAGGAGUGCGAGGCCCACAAGGAAUAAAAGGAGACAGGGGGAUACCAGGUGUACAAGGGGCCAGGGGAAGCAAUGGAGCUCAGGGCAGUAAAGGAAAUUCUGGAACCCCAGGAAUUCCCGGAGCAAAGGGUGAAAAGGGUAACAACUUCAAACCUCAUCGAGGGCAGGACACAGGGAGAAAUUC
This is a long non-coding RNA of Conger conger (European conger), 192 nucleotides long. RefSeq lists it as uncharacterized. The transcript has 3 exons. The record is from RefSeq and is a predicted model, not a curated record. NCBI's taxonomy places the organism in Eukaryota, Metazoa, Chordata, Actinopteri, Anguilliformes, Congridae.